This 447-nucleotide ribosomal RNA is filed under the name uncultured bacterium. Its description in RNAcentral is "partial 16S ribosomal RNA". It matches the Rfam family "Bacterial small subunit ribosomal RNA", at positions 29 to 523 of the family's 1533-position model. The record is from RNAcentral.
AACGAACGCUGGCGGCAGGCUUAACACAUGCAAGUCGAGCGCCCCGCAAGGGGAGCGGCAGACGGGUGAGUAACGCGUGGGAACGUGCCCUUUGGUUCGGAAUAACUCAGGGAAACUUGAGCUAAUACCGGAUAAGCCCUUUUGGGGAAAGAUUUAUCGCCGAAGGAUUGGCCCGCGUCCGAUUAGCUAGUUGGUGGGGUAAUGGCUCACCAAGGCGACGAUCGGUAGCUGGUCUGAGAGGAUGAUCAGCCACACUGGGACUGAGACACGGCCCAGACUCCUACGGGAGGCAGCAGUGGGGAAUAUUGGACAAUGGGGGCAACCCUGAUCCAGCCAUGCCGCGUGAGUGAUGAAGGCCCUAGGGUUGUAAAGCUCUUUCGGCGGGGACGAUAAUGACGGUACCCGCAGAAGAAGCCCCGGCUAACUUCGUGCCAGCCGCCGCGGUAA